This 972-nucleotide long non-coding RNA is filed under the name Drosophila guanche. The record is from RNAcentral. Lineage: Eukaryota; Metazoa; Arthropoda; Insecta; Diptera; Drosophilidae.
GCAUAUUUGGGGAAAAGUUCAUUUCUUCUGUGCAUAAAAUAUAUGCAAAGACAUUUUAUUGUUCCACAGAAGUAAAGAUACAGGAACAACAGAAUCAAAUAGCUUUCCGUUUAAAUCCUCAAGACAAAUAAGUUUAUAAUCGAUGUUCAGAGUAAUUCCGAAUUGUGUGAUUUAUUUUUGAUUCAAUUGCAAGUCUUAAAUAUUUAGGUAUUGUAAAUAAAGGUGAAUAAUUCUUAGGAACAGAAACAAUCAACAACGAAAUGAUUAUGAAAUAUACACAAUUAAUUUGUUACAAAAACAAAAGGAAUCGCUAUUCGUAAAGUUGUCUGGAUUUUGAUUUUCAAGCGAGCGUCGGCAGAUUAACUAGAAAAAUAUACAUUUUUAUUGUAUACGUAUUGAUUUGAGAUUACAUUUCGAAUUUGAUCUUGAGAAAGCCAAAAACAAUGAGAUGGCGGUGGCGGCUCCUAAACAUUGUAACGCUAAGCAAUUCAGUUGUAGUUACACAUCAUUAAUAGUUGCAUAUUGUAUAAAUAUUUGCCAUUAUGUUCAAGUAUACUCGUACCUACAUACAUAAAGUUCGUACCAAAGUUUGCUUUGUUCACAGACGUACACACGGAGGUAAAGUAAACUUCUUUGCAACAACUACAAUAUGUAGAAGAGGUGUGUGUGUGUGUGUGUGUGUGUGGAACCGAUCGGAUAUUACUCAUAAACAUACAUACAUAUUUAUUAUUUAUUUACCGAGUGCGCAUACAAUCAUAAAUGUAUGCCAAGUAUAUCGUAUUUUAGCUUGAGUUUCGAGUUCAAAAAUUGACUGGCGUCUACAUAUAUGUAUGUAUUUAUAUUUAUAUUUAUCUUUAUGUUUAUCUAUUUAUACAAUUAAACGGAUUGCGGUAUUAAGAACAAUUUGCGUACACCUUUUGUUUGUGUCUAAGUUUCAAUUUCGCAUUGAUACUCUCAAUAUUUGUGCUGUGC